AAGUCGAACGCGCAGCGAAGAGUGCUUGCACUCUUCAAGCG
RNAcentral lists this ribosomal RNA (41 nucleotides) under uncultured Fructobacillus sp. RNAcentral describes it as "partial 16S ribosomal RNA". The record is from RNAcentral. Lineage: Bacteria; Bacillati; Bacillota; Bacilli; Lactobacillales; Lactobacillaceae.